GUGGGGGUGCCCUAGUCCGGUAGGGGGGUGGCCUGCUAAGCCACUGGGCCGAUGAGGCCCGCGCGGGUUCAAAUCCCGCCCCCCACG
This 87-nucleotide transfer RNA is filed under the name Nitrososphaerota archaeon. RNAcentral describes it as "tRNA-Ser". It matches the Rfam family "tRNA". From Rfam's summary of the family: Transfer RNA (tRNA) molecules are approximately 80 nucleotides in length. The record is from RNAcentral. Lineage: Archaea; Thermoproteati; Nitrososphaerota. RNAcentral also lists the same sequence under 2 other names.